CUUAAGUGGGGAAUAACGCAUCGAAAGGUGUGCUAAUACCGCAUAAUCUCUGAGGAGAAAAGCAGGGGAUCGCAAGACCUUGCGCUUUUGGAGCGGCCGAUGUCUGAUUAGCUUGUUGGUGAGGUAAAAGCUUACCAAGGCUUCGAUCAGUAGCUGGUCUGAGAGGACGACCAGCCACACUGGGACUGAGACACGGCCCAGACUCCUACGGGAGGCAGCAGUGGGGAAUUUUGGACAAUGGGGGCAACCCUGAUCCAGCCAUGCCGCGUGAGUGAAGAAGGCCUUCGGGUUGUAAAGCUCUUUCAGCCGGAACGAAACGGUUACGGUUAAUACCCGUGACUACUGACGGUACCGGAAGAAGAAGCACCGGCUAACUACGUGCCAGCAGCCGCGGUAAUACGUAGGGUGCGAGCGUUAAUCGGAAUUACUGGGCGUAAAGCGUGCGCAGGUGGUUUUGUAAGUCAGAUGUGAAAUCCCCGGGCUCAACCUGGGAACUGCGUUUGAAACUACAAGGCUAGAGUGUGGCAGAGGGGGGUGGAAUUCCGCGUGUAGCAGUGAAAUGCGUAGAGAUGUGGAGGAACACCGAUGGCGAAGGCAGCCCCCUGGGUCAACACUGACGCUCAGGCACGAAAGCAUGGGGAGCAAACAGGAUUAGAUACCCUGGUAGUCCAUGCCCUAAACGAUGUCAACUAGUUGUCGGGCCUUAACGGGCUUGGUAACGUAGCUAACGCGUGAAGUUGACCGCCUGGGGAGUACGAUCGCAAGAUUAAAACUCAAAGGAAUUGACGGGGACCCGCACAAGCGGUGGAUUAUGUGGAUUAAUUCGAUGCAACGCGAAAAACCUUACCUACCCUUGACAUGUAUCGAAGCCCGCAGAAAAGUGGGUGUGCCCGAAAGGGAACGAUAACACAGGUGCUGCAUGGCUGUCGUCAGCUCGUGUCGUGAGAUGUUGGGUUAAGUCCCGCAACGAGCGCAACCCUUGUCAUUAAUUGCCAUCAUUUAGUUGGGCACUUUAAUGAGACUGCCGGUGACAAACCGGAGGAAGGUGGGGAUGACGUCAAGUCCUCAUGGCCCUUAUGGGUAGGGCUUCACACGUAA
This 1098-nucleotide ribosomal RNA is filed under the name uncultured ammonia-oxidizing bacterium. RNAcentral's name for it is "bacterial SSU rRNA". It matches the Rfam family "Bacterial small subunit ribosomal RNA", at positions 131 to 1225 of the family's 1533-position model. The record is from RNAcentral.